This 400-nucleotide ribosomal RNA is filed under the name uncultured bacterium. RNAcentral describes it as "bacterial SSU rRNA". It matches the Rfam family "Bacterial small subunit ribosomal RNA", at positions 355 to 752 of the family's 1533-position model. The record is from RNAcentral.
UAAGGAAUAUUGGACAAUGGACGCAAGUCUGAUCCAGCCAUGCCGCGUGCAGGAUGAAGGUCCUCUGGAUUGUAAACUGCUUUUAUGGGGGGCGAAACGUAGGGUUUCUACUUUAUUUGACGGUACCCCAUGAAUAAGCACCGGCUAACUCCGUGCCAGCAGCCGCGGUAAUACGGAGGGUGCAAGCGUUAUCCGGAUUUACUGGGUUUAAAGGGUGCGUAGGCGGGUUGGUAAGUCAGUGGUGAAAUCCUGCAGCUUAACUGCAGAACUGCCAUUGAUACUACUGAUCUUGAAUCAUCUGGAGGUUUGCGGAAUAGGUCAUGUAGCGGUGAAAUGCAUAGAUAUGACCUAGAACACCUAUUGCGAAGGCAGCAGGCUACGGAUGCAUUGACGCUGAGGC